GACGAACGCUGGCGGCGUGCUUAACACAUGCAAGUCGAACGGAAAGGCCCUGCUUUUGUGGGGUGCUCGAGUGGCGAACGGGUGAGUAACACGUGAGUAACCUGCCCUUGACUUUGGGAUAACUUCAGGAAACUGGGGCUAAUACCGGAUAGGAGCUCCUGCUGCAUGGUGGUGGUUGGAAAGUUUCGGCGGUUGGGGAUGGACUCGCGGCUUAUCAGCUUGUUGGGUGGGUAGUGGCCUACCAAGGCUUUGACGGGUAGCCGGCCUGAGAGGGUGACCGGGCAAAAUUGGGCUGAGGAACGGGCCAGACGUCCUCGGGGAGGAAGAAGUGGGGAAUAUUCAAAAUGGGGGGGAGGCCUAAUGAGGAAAGGCGGGGUGGGGGAUACGGGCUUUCGGGUGGAAAACGGCUUUAGCAGGGGACAAAGAGUGAGUGACGGUAAUGGGUAAAGAAGCACCGGCUAACUACGUG
This 469-nucleotide ribosomal RNA is filed under the name uncultured bacterium. RNAcentral's name for it is "partial 16S ribosomal RNA". It matches the Rfam family "Bacterial small subunit ribosomal RNA", at positions 28 to 507 of the family's 1533-position model. The record is from RNAcentral.